RNAcentral lists this long non-coding RNA (362 nucleotides) under Mustela putorius furo (domestic ferret). RNAcentral's name for it is "lncRNA (ENSMPUG00000030499.1)". The record is from RNAcentral. Lineage: Eukaryota; Metazoa; Chordata; Mammalia; Carnivora; Mustelidae.
ACGCCUACGUAAGGAGAUGAAGCGGGGGGAAUGACGUAGGCACCGCGACGCGGCGACUCAGACGGAGGAUGGUUUGCUUCCCCUCCGUGGUCGCGGGGAUUCCUGGGGAAACGAAGCACAGAAGCCAAGCGGCGGAGACGCCAGGACUCCUGUGUGUAAGGCUUUCCUGAACGACGGAGUGGAUGUCCAGACGGCAGGCUGCAGAGAGCGGCCGGCAGGAGGAAAAAAAGAAAUGAAACCUGGUGAUUCACAGACCUGUACCCCUGGGGAUAAAAAUAUAUGUUUAUAAAAAAUAAAAAAUUAAAAAAAAAAAAAAAGAAAUGAAUUAGUAGAGUUUUCUGUUUUGUUUUCUCUUUUCCUCU